AAACGACUCUCGGCAACGGAUAUCUCGGCUCUCGCAUCGAUGAAGAACGUAGCGAAAUGCGAUACUUGGUGUGAAUUGCAGAAUCCCGUGAACCAUCGAGUCUUUGAACGCAAGUUGCGCCCAAAGCCCUCGGGCUAAGGGCACGUCUGCCUGGGUGUCACGC
This 163-nucleotide ribosomal RNA is filed under the name Rinorea brachypetala. RNAcentral's name for it is "5.8S ribosomal RNA". It matches the Rfam family "5.8S ribosomal RNA". From Rfam's summary of the family: 5.8S ribosomal RNA (5.8S rRNA) is a component of the large subunit of the eukaryotic ribosome. It is transcribed by RNA polymerase I as part of the 45S precursor that also contains 18S and 28S rRNA. Functionally, it is thought that 5.8S rRNA may be involved in ribosome translocation. RNAcentral also lists the same sequence under 1 other name. Lineage: Eukaryota; Viridiplantae; Streptophyta; Magnoliopsida; Malpighiales; Violaceae. The record is from RNAcentral.